GAUGAAGAUGACCCGAUAUUUUUGGUGAAGAGCUUCUUUCAGACUCCUUCCCCUACAAGGAACUAUUGAAUGGGUUCCUAUGAGAAGUUGAAGAAAAGUUAUGGAUAAUGAAAACAAUGCUCCUUCGUUAUUAAAGUCGAUUGAGGACUAUGAUCCUAUAUUUUUCGAAUUGUUCGUCGAC
Helianthus annuus (common sunflower) is the source of this 181-nucleotide long non-coding RNA. RefSeq lists it as uncharacterized. The record is from RefSeq and is a predicted model, not a curated record. Lineage: Eukaryota; Viridiplantae; Streptophyta; Magnoliopsida; Asterales; Asteraceae. The transcript is spliced from 3 exons.